Molecule: long non-coding RNA, 1270 nt
Organism: Pezoporus flaviventris
Lineage: Eukaryota; Metazoa; Chordata; Aves; Psittaciformes; Psittacidae
Exons: 4
Source: RefSeq, a predicted model, not a curated record
UUUGGAAAGAGGAGAGCAAGAGGUGAGUUAACACAGAAAGUUUUAUCUAUAGACUGAACAAGAAGCCGUUUUAAUGUCAUGUACUGAUUGCUGCUUAAAAGCAAACUGAAUUCUUCAGGAGUCAUCGGGAUAAGAGGUAGAGGAACUCGCAUCAGGAGCUAAUACACUGCUUUCACCCUUAGCUUUGCUAUGACAGUAACAAGUACUAUUAAUAGGAUGGCACAACUCCUCAUCACUCUGCACAGGUGAUAGGUGCAGCAGCUUUUGUUUGGCCGGCCAAAGGCCUUGUGUGCCAAUAACCUUUGUUAGAGGGGAAUAGUACUACCAGCAGUAUCUAAAAUGAGAGCAAAGUACAGAGUGUCCUUCCCUAUAGCAGGAAUAGAAGUGGAAUCGCUGGCAAGAGCACUGUAUUGUGCCCACUUAAAUAUGGUACCAAGAGCAAUGGACGCAUGCUGAGCUGGAAAAUUUUUCUCUUUCUAGAUCACAGCACCAAGUAAGCUCACUGACAACUCCACCAUCACAUGAGUGAAUCUGCUCCAUACCCAGGACUGAUCCCUGCUAGGAACUUACACGUCUGGAAAUGCAGUUUAUUACCAGUGACUCCUUUUAGCAAUGGAGUCAGACAGAGGAGAUGCUGCAUGGAAGUUUCUGGUUUACCUUGGGUUUGAUUUUGUGAUGCAAGGACAAGCUCUCACUGGGUUUCUGCUCUGUGUAUGGGACGUGUGUGUAGCUACUACUGGGUAGGUAAAGGUUUAAGGAGGCUUCUGGGACUUUUCUUUAGAAGAGAAUGAGAGAGCUCUUGGAAAACCUAUGAGAGCUUAAUAUCCCCGAGGUCAUUGUGGCUGUAUCAAGUGUGGCUGAGAUUGGCCAGUUGGUUCAGACGUUGUUGGAGGACAAGGGGAUGAGGACACAGCACAGCGAUUGCAUAAGCCUUAUUUUUAGCCUGGCUUCCUAUGGGAAGAAAAGCUGGCUUGCAAUGGCAGGCUUUCCUACAGCAGAUAGGACGUUCCUGCGAAAAGAAGAUGGAAACUAUAAACACUGGGCUUUUACCUGUCUGCCUCCAGCCAGCAGGAAGGUUCCCGCAUUAGAGACCUGCUCACUUUAGCUUAUUGUUAUGGGCUUCCCUACUGGACUUCCAGCUAAUAUUGGCAGGAAUACAAGUGGUGAGAAGGCAAGACCCAGCUCCCUCUGACAUCUCAUUGACCUUGGAAGAUAUUUGGAUUGCAGCCCAAAGGAAAAAUGAUAUAAUACAUCUUCAGGAAAGAAUUUA